Molecule: long non-coding RNA, 1946 nt
Organism: Esox lucius (northern pike)
Lineage: Eukaryota; Metazoa; Chordata; Actinopteri; Esociformes; Esocidae
Exons: 3
Source: RefSeq, a predicted model, not a curated record
AUUUUUUUUCCUGUUUGAUUACAUUUUGUAUAUUGACAGCAUUUGUUUGUAAGCAUGUGUUUUCUUUUCCCCGAUGAGAGUUUUGUAUAUUGUUGUAUAUUGUUUAUUUUUUGGCAAUAAAAAAAAUAAAAAUAAAAAUAAAAAAUAGACUCCUCACAGACUAUAUGUUUCGAUGGCCAAUCAAAUUAAUGGAAGUAGGAGGGCGUAGUGAUGGAAAACGAAAUAACCCAAUCUGGCGAAGAAAACCAGGAGUGAGGGCGUGACGAUUUUCCAUGACCAGUGAAAUUAAGAGGAUUGGAGUUCACUACAACCCCGCUUCUUUUUUACUCACAAGAACGUUUUACUUGGCAAUUGUGAUUUACUGACGGUUGAAAUCAAAGUCUAACAUUUCAGUAAAGCAUUGGGAAUACAUUCCAGCAAUUUCUAUUAAACUCGCCAAGCCAUGGAAGUGGCUACUGAAAACACGACAACAGUUCAAGGCAGUCCAAAUAAUUUUGUUACUACAAAUCUAGGUAGAACAGUCAACACAACACUGGUGUGCUGGGAUUAGUGGUAAAUCAAUUUUGUCUAAAAUGUAUGGAUGACGAAUGGAGCUGUACUGACUUUGAAGGAAAGAAAUAGCCUAACUGCAAACUCUAACAUUGAAUUAAGGAUUAUAAAGCAUAUUAUAAUUGCUCAAACACCACACAUGACUUAUCAAAAUGCACCUGCCGAUACUGGACACAAAGGGAGAAACAUUGUUCAUGGACAACCUGGACAAAGCAGCAAAGAGGGACAUCAAACACUGGACACGGCGCCGCAAGCUACAGUUGGCGAAAGAACCGUUGGCUGAAGAGAAGUUGCAGAGAAGGUGGAUUUUUGGUUUCCUCUCCUAGCUGUGGCUCUGCGGAGUUUGAGUACGUGAUCAAAUCAGCCUACGAAUGAAGGAGAGCCAACCACUCUUAUGGGAAGAAGAGGCGUCGCCAAAACAACCAUCACAGCCCUACCCUGGACACCUGAUUGCUCAGAACAUUUGAAGAGAAGAGAAGCUGUGAUUUAUCGGGCAACUGAGGAUUUUUGGUUUCCUGAUCAACUUAGCUGACAAGUGAAGGUCACUUGAACUGGACUGAUUUACACACACACACACACACACACACACACACUCAAGUCUCAGUUGCUGCUACCAGACACUCUACUUUUUAUAGUUUUAUUAGGGUGUAGUUAUUUUGUUGUCCAUUUCUUAAAAUGUUUUGCUAUUUGCUUUUAGCCUUUCUAUUGGUGCAUUGCUGUGAGGUUAGUAUUGCAUAAAGGUUUUAUUUACAUUGAAAAUGUAUUUUCUAUUGCUAUUACAACAGUUUAAAACCUGCAUAGCAAGACAUUUAGGUAUUUUCACUUCCCCCAGUGCUGUCAUUAACUUACAAUGCUGUAAACAAAAACUGACAAAAAUAACUCAAACAACAACUAAGAAUGGAACUUGAAAAAACCACAUAAUCAAAAACAGCACCAAACUUUUUUCUGCCCAAGACUGAGCAACCUGGCCACACACACACAUUUUGUUUUGCCAUUGAAAGACUGGCAAUUUUGUACUAUCAAUUAUCCUUUUUCCCUAAACCCUAGCUUAGACUUUUUGAAUAAACCUAACCUAACUCCUACAACUAAAGGUGCAAUAUGUGAAGUAGUUGCAUUGUACAACCAGAAAAUAUCUAGUGUGUAUUCGGUUAUAGUGAAAUGAUAGUGUUUCACAACACUUAAUGAACCCAAAAUUAUUCUGGGCACAAACAAAACCACAUCCUAAAAUGUAGAAUUUCUAUCUGUCAACAGAAGCCAGAACGGCUUCAAAUGGAAAUGCUACACCUUCUCUUUCAGGGCCAGAUGUAACAUACAGUGAUUUUAAUGGCAGGUUUAAUUUGAACAGUAAGAGAUAGAAUAACAAAAAGAUCCAGAAAAAUGCAUGUCAAAAAUUUUAU